UUCGUAGGCGGUGCGGCAAGUCGGGAGUGAAAUCUCUGGGCUUAACUCAGAGGCUGCUUCCGAAACUGCCGCGCUAGAGUGCGGGAGAGGCCAGUGGAAUUGCAGGUGUAGCGGUGAAAUGCGUAGAUAUCUGCAGGAACACCCGUGGCGAAGGCGGCUGGCUGGACCGUAACUGACGCUGAGGAACGAAAGCUAGGGGAGCAAACAGGAUUAGAUACCCCGGUAGUCCUAGCCCUAAACCAUCAGGACUUGGGGUGCAUCCCGUUGGGGGUGCGUCCCGUAGCUAACGCGUUAAGUCCUGCGCCUGGGGAGUACGGUCGCAAGGCUGAA
RNAcentral lists this ribosomal RNA (330 nucleotides) under uncultured bacterium. Its description in RNAcentral is "bacterial SSU rRNA". It matches the Rfam family "Bacterial small subunit ribosomal RNA", at positions 568 to 898 of the family's 1533-position model. The record is from RNAcentral.